UCCUUCCUUUGACUUUCACUGCAGCAAUCUCAAGCUUAGGCCACCCUAACUUGAUCUUGAGGGGGGAUGAUAGUGAGAAUAGCACAUGCCUGUUAGUUAAGAGUUUAGUAUAGUGUGCCAAGUGUAAGAUUGUUAUUGGUUGUUAUCCUAAUCUAGUGGUUAGGCUGUUAUAAAGUAAAAGCACUGUACGCUCUUUCUCAUUAAGGAAAAUAUACACAGCUCUUUUCUAUAUUCUCUCUCUUUUCUCUUCUUCUUCUUCAACUGUUAUCACCGCCGACAUAUUAAGUCGAUUAUUUCCAGGGAAGUAUAGCACUCCAAAAGCUAUAUGAAGUUGAGUUUUAGCUCAAGCCCCAUGGCUCAGUUUCAUGCAGAAACCUUAAAUCUGCAUCUAGCCCAAGAUCAAACGGUUCUUGUAAAGGCAUAUCAAAUCCGUUGAUAGUUGUUGCUUUACUAAAAAGCAAGUCUCCACUAGAGACAGCUCUAAUACCACUACUGCUAAAGCAUGUGGGUGUUUGUAAUCUCCACCGCUACUUUAGUAAAGAGAUCUGUUCUUCACCGAACAAGAUAAGGAUGGUACAGAGAAAAGAUGCAAAGAUGCAAUCAGACCACUACUACAGCGAAUGGACGAGAUCUGGGUCAAUUAUGGUGGGAAGAGAGAUGUUGUGGAUGUGAAUCACUUCUGCCAAUGCCAACCAUGAUAUCGUGAUGAAUAGUUUGUACUUUGCGUGGGGUUGGUGCUAAACUGUAAUAUUCGGGGUUGGGGUACCCUCCCUCUUGCAUACAAUUCUCUCACCCAAUCAAUCAGCACCACCUCAUCCUCUGCAGCCUCCAUCUCAAUAGGCUUUCUUCCGCAAGC
This is a non-coding RNA of Prunus avium (sweet cherry), 856 nucleotides long. The record is from RefSeq and is a predicted model, not a curated record. NCBI's taxonomy places the organism in Eukaryota, Viridiplantae, Streptophyta, Magnoliopsida, Rosales, Rosaceae.